GUUUUUCAGCUGAACACUGAGAGACAACAUCCCACAUACCGAGGAAACCAGGAUCCAGAUAGACAAACUGCUGGAGGAAAAUCAUUCAUCUGACAGCAAAGAUGCAGUGGAGUCUGAUUCUGCUCUUCCUGAUGGCUCAGUGUUGUUUCAUUGACUGUCAGCUCUAUAAGUAUC
Long non-coding RNA from Gambusia affinis (western mosquitofish), 174 nucleotides. RefSeq lists it as uncharacterized. Lineage: Eukaryota; Metazoa; Chordata; Actinopteri; Cyprinodontiformes; Poeciliidae. The record is from RefSeq and is a predicted model, not a curated record. The transcript has 3 exons.